AAAAUUUCUCUCUCUUCUAAAAUGUUUCUCUCUCUCUCUAUCUCUUUCUCUCUCUGGAAAUACAGAGGCAUUUCUUCUCCAAAAUAGAAUCUGUAUCUUCCUCUUCUUCACACCCACCCCCGACGCCGCCUUCCCCUAACUCACCUACGCUGGUUUGACACAACCAUCACCUCCGUUCCAUCUUUGCAGUGUAUCGCACCACCACGACGCCCUCCCCCGAUUCACCAACGCUGAUCCAACGCAACCAUCACCAGUGUCCCACGUUGCUGCCUUCCUCUUCCCGUCCCACCGUCGGUGUCGUCUCACUGGUAAGGAAAGCUCCAACCACCGUCGGUGUCGUCUUGCUGGGAAUGCGGCGAGGGAUAACAAGAGGAACCAAAUAGUUCCAAGCACAAUCAGUUUGCUUUGAGGAAUGAUGGGGAGUCGGUAACAUUUGUGAAUGAUGUAGUUUUGCCUAACAAUAAUCAAGUUCUCUUAUCGAAGAAUUCUGGGAAAGGAAAGAACCAGAUCGGAUAUGUUUUGCAGGAGUUGUAGGGUUUUUAGGAGUAGUGAUUUCCUCUCCGUGUUUUGGAAAUGAUUAUGUUGGUUCCUUUUCGGCUUGUUUCGAUGGAUCUUUUUUUUUUUUUUUUUUUCAAUAGCUUGUUAUGGACAUAUGGCCUUUAUAGCUUGUUAUGGAAAUAGCUUGAUGAAUCCUUGUCUCAACAACUUGGUCAUAUAUGGAAAAUCAGUUGUUUCAAA
Long non-coding RNA from Rhododendron vialii, 738 nucleotides. RefSeq lists it as uncharacterized. The transcript has 2 exons. NCBI's taxonomy places the organism in Eukaryota, Viridiplantae, Streptophyta, Magnoliopsida, Ericales, Ericaceae. The record is from RefSeq and is a predicted model, not a curated record.